GAGUCGCGCUCUGCGAUCUACAUAUUUGGCACUGUCUAUUUCCGGUGCAUGCUGACGCAUGCACGCUGUUCUAGAACAUUCUGAUGUGCAGCAAGAAAGUAUAUAAGCAGUUCAAGGCUGCUGUUAGACCUUGGGAGUUGCAUGAGUUUAGAUCUAUGUAUCAGAAGAUCAAGAUGAGUAAAGAUACCGGUAUCCAGUCAGACGCAGACGCUUCGUUUACGUGCAGUAGUUUAGACAGACAGUACAGCACUUCCCCUGACCACUCUGAACCCUCACAUCUGUAGCCCCCUCUGGAGGAUAGAACAUCUGGUCAGUAAGAAAAAUCGAUGAGUGAUAUUUUUUUUUCUCGUCUCUUCUUCGUUUUCUGUUUUGCUCAGGUUGAGCUACACAUUUAAAGAUACGCAUUCCGUACCACUGAUUACCCUCAUAAUUGUGGAUUGUCUCAUUAAGUUUUAAUGAGGUUGAUUGCUCCGCUGAUUUUGUUUUUAUCGGCCAAUUUUGCCGAGAAUGUUUCUUGAAUUUUGAUGGCCAUUGCUGGUCGUUGUGUUAAAUCUCAGAAUACUGAGUGCGAUUAUUGCCCAGUUAUGUCUUGGCGGUACGGGUGUUAUCAUUGACACCACACUUGGAUGACCUUUCUACGAGGUGCUCAUACCAUCGCCUCAUCUCAUCUCCUCAAGGGAAGUUAGCCACGUCGCGGUACAACAGAUUUGGAGUCUACAACACCUGCAUUUUUAAAUAAAAUUCCCUUGCGGAUCAGUUUUCCUGUUCGGGAGGUUUUGGCUGGUUUACUCACGGAUUGGACUGUCGAUUCGGAAUGGAAUUGAUUAAUUUUGUUUAAAAACCUUACAUAAUAUUAUUAACAAAAUAAUUAAAACUAAUCAUGAUCGAGGACGAUCUUCUUUUGAAAGGAGAGCAAUGUAGAGUCGCGCUCUGCGAUCUACAUAUUUGGCACUGUCUAUUUCCGGUGCAUGCUGACGCAUGCACGCUGUUCUAGAACAUUCUGAUGUGCAGCAAGAAAGUAUAUAAGCAGUUCAAGGCUGCUGUUAGACCUUGGGAGUUGCAUGAGUUUAGAUCUAUGUAUCAGAAGAUCAAGAUGAGUAAAGAUACCGGUAUCCA
Paramacrobiotus metropolitanus is the source of this 1116-nucleotide long non-coding RNA. RefSeq lists it as uncharacterized. The transcript is spliced from 2 exons. Lineage: Eukaryota; Metazoa; Tardigrada; Eutardigrada; Parachela; Macrobiotidae. The record is from RefSeq and is a predicted model, not a curated record.